Molecule: long non-coding RNA, 1331 nt
Filed under: Mytilus galloprovincialis (Mediterranean mussel)
Lineage: Eukaryota; Metazoa; Mollusca; Bivalvia; Mytilida; Mytilidae
Source: RNAcentral
GUGCAACAUAAAGUGGACUUUUACGUCGUUUCGUCAUUACUUAAAUGACCAUGGUGUUGUUUGUGUUCUUUUUCAUAAUGACUUUUUGCAUCUUUUUUUCUCUUUUCAGAGACGUUGCAAACACUCCCGAGGUUCUUUCGAGAAUCACUUUAGAUUACAUGAUAUGUUUAUUGCCAAGUUUGCAUUGCUACAUUAUAGUUUCUGUUAGUGUUACAUUUUGGUGUUGUGUAUCUGUUGUGUCGUACAUGUGGUUUUCUUAUAUUUGAUACGUUUCCCUCAUUUUUAGUUUGUAACCCGUAUUUGUUUUUUCUCUGUCGAUUUAUGAAUUUCGAACCGUGGUAUACUACUGUUGCCUUUAUUUGCUUAUGACAUAUAAUCCAUUUUUGUUCAACUCAAACAUAAAUCGCAUUAUAAGAUUCAUGUAAAAGUAAAUGUAAUUCGGAUCAUUUAUUGACUCUGUAAUAAACAUGUACUAAGGUCAAGGAUUUAACUCAUUUUUCGAUUUGAAUGAAGUUCCCACAGUAAAAAAACGCAAAUUUCAUUUAUAAACACAAACUUUGAACAGCGGUAGGCCUUUUCACUCUGAAGUUGUAUAAUCACAAAUCCAGACCCGUCCAGAAAGAAAAAAAAUACAGUACAUAUUUAAAAAAUAUAUAAAAUAGUUACUAUCUUAUAGGACAUGUAGGAAUAACUGUCACAAUAAAUUGCAGAUAGUUCUAAGUUUGUUGCUACAAUACAGCUAAAGAACUUUGGACCGUUGUAAGAUUUGGAAAUACUAAUCAUGUAAAUGAAUAAAAAGAAAAUGAAUGAAACCUAAAAAGUAAAUAUAUUGCUACUUUGGAACCUAAACUGCAGUACUAGUUACAAGUACAAAUUAUGUCGAUUUCCAUUGUGGUUUUUGCCCUUGGCCAAUUUAAGUCCCUGCACCGAAUAUUUUGAAUACUUUUUGAACAUUUAACAACACAAUUGCAUACAGUAUAUGAAUUAAUUGAUUAAAAUUCAAACUCAAUCCUUUUAAAAAGAAUAUUUUCCUGAUAAAUAUAGAAUGUUUCCAUUUUGGGCGUGUUUAUCUAUUCCAAUCAAAAUUAUGAUAGAUACAUGUACGUAAAUGUUAAAAUUCAGAAAAUAAUAUGGAAAAGAAAAAGAAAAUUUACCAAAAUCAGACCUUUAACCCUGGAUUCAAUUUAUAAAGACUAAUAAGGUUGUCUUUUGACCUUUGAGAUUUAUUAUUGCACUAGCACAACUUCAUGUCAUGAUAAUAGUGAUAGAAUAUAAACCCUCCAUUGUACAAGCUAUCACAUGAUCGAUUCGGUCAACAAGGGUUAAGUUUU